This 72-nucleotide transfer RNA is filed under the name Sus scrofa (pig). It matches the Rfam family "tRNA". Rfam says of the family: Transfer RNA (tRNA) molecules are approximately 80 nucleotides in length. Their secondary structure includes four short double-helical elements and three loops (D, anti-codon, and T loops). The record is from Rfam by way of RNAcentral. Lineage: Eukaryota; Metazoa; Chordata; Mammalia; Artiodactyla; Suidae.
UCCCUGAUGGUCUAGUGGUUAGGAUAUGGUGCUUUCACCCCUGUGACCCAGGUUCAACCCCUGGUUUGAGAA